RNAcentral lists this long non-coding RNA (1731 nucleotides) under Prunus persica (peach). RNAcentral describes it as "long non-coding RNA (PPER_LNC008364)". Lineage: Eukaryota; Viridiplantae; Streptophyta; Magnoliopsida; Rosales; Rosaceae. The record is from RNAcentral.
UACCGGCGUAUGGGGAGUUAUGUGAUAUGAUGUGCAGGUCGCACGUGGCGUAGGUUAUCCGGCGUGUCGACAGACCCCAUACGUGGCGUUGGUUGUACCGGCGUAUGGGGAACUUUGUGAUAUAAUAUUGAGGUCCCACGUGGCGUAGGUUAUCCGGCGUUGGGACAGGCCUCAUACGUGGCGUUGGUUGUACCGGCGUAUGGGGAGUUAUGUGAUAUGAUGUGCAGGUCUCACGUGACGUAGGUUAUCCGGCGUUGAGACAGACCCCAUACGUGGCGUUGGUUGUACCGGCGUAUGGGGAGAUUAUAUGAAAUGAAAUAAGGUAUCGCCCAAGUGGGGAAUUGAGUUUUAGGGAAGAACUACGUGUGGCUUGAUCCCUCAAGGAGGGUACGUAGGCAGCCUAAGGUUAGGUGCAGCCGCAGACUAAAUGUUAGUCAUAUUUGGUAUUUGAAUGGUUUGGUAGUUGGAUAGGAAUUAUUGAAAGGCCGAAGGCCAUUUGUGUGAAUUGCAUGAAAUUAUAUUGUGCAUGCUGCCAGUUGGGAAUAUUAAAUGUGUUUUUAUGCAGGUUGAAAUUUUGGGAUAUGUCCAAUUUAUAGGGGAGACUCUGCCGAAAUUUCGGCAGGAAGUCUCAGUUUUUAGUAAGCGGGCCUGACAUCGGGGUGAUGUCAGGAAUUCCAAAGGGUUCGUCUCGGGUUUUUGAGAAAAUUCGGGGCGGGUCCUUAAACUACGAGUGGCUUGAUUCCCACAAGGGAUACGUAGGCAUCCUGAGGUUGGACUUGGGAGCAGCUGCAAAAUCAAACACACACGUUCUGUUUCUUUAUGAUGGAAUCAAAGGGUUUUCCCUUGAAGCAAGGGAUUGUAAUUAAGAGACUUACGUCUCGAAUGGGUCGAACCUAAAAUAAUAAAACCCCAUUAUUUAAUUAGUGGUGGUGAAAUUAUAUUAGGAAGAUCACAAUUUUCCUUCAACAUAGCUCAUCCCCACAUUUAAAUUAAAGCCCACUGUAUUUUCUUCAAUAAUUUGUUUAUCAUUGUUUUUAUUACUUUUAUGCGAUUCUUGUACUAACCAUAUUCUUCCAUAAUUUAUUUCUCAUUGUUCCAAUCGUUGAUAUUACAAUUUACAAUUAAUAAACUAAAGUACAUUUUUAAAAUGAAGUUUUCGAAAGAAGUACCAAAUUUGAAUCUUCCCCUUUUACUCAUCACAAGAAAAAAAAAUAUCCCUAAAAUGUUAGAAAUUAUAAGCCUUUAUAUUUUCUCUCAAAAUAGCAGCAAGUUAAAUUUAGAGGGGCAAACGUGCCUGAUAUAAGUAUUUUAACAACCCUCUAUAGGUAUGGCUACAUAAAACAAGGUAACGAGAUUAUCUUUGUUCUUUUACCAGAGGGGCAGACGUGCAUGAUAUGUAUGUAGUCUUUCAAGGAACAUUCUGGCUUUGAAGUUAUCUCCUAUUCUUAGCUAGGCAGCCCAAAUCUCUAGGCAUAUGCACAUCGCAUCAUGGGGAUCAUUGUAUUUUGCUUUAGCAAAUCUAGUUGUUUCACCCCAAAAAAAAAUAUCCAGUUGUUUCCAGGUUGAUUUCAAUUCAACGUUAAAGGUAAGAGGAAAAAAAAAAUUCUUGAAAAUAGUUGUAGGUUUUUUUAUUUUAUUUUUAUAAAUAUAAAACACCAAACUCAGUGAUAAAACUAAACUAAAAAUAAAAAGAAUAAAAUUUAAACACUCUGAAUGAGAUGAGAUUAGCAG